GUGGGGAAUAUUGGGCAAUGGGCGCAAGCCUGACCCAGCAACGCCGCGUGAAGGAAGAAGGCUUUCGGGUUGUAAACUUCUUUUAUGAGGGACGAAUAGAUGACGGUACCUCAUGAAUAAGCCACGGCUAACUACGUGCCAGCAGCCGCGGUAAUACGUAGGUGGCAAGCGUUAUCCGGAUUUACUGGGUGUAAAGGGCGUGUAGGCGGGACUGCAAGUCAGAUGUGAAAUUCCAGGGCUCAACCCUGGACCUGCAUUUGAAACUGUGGUUCUUGAGUGAUGGAGAGGCAGGCGGAAUUCCCUGUGUAGCGGUGAAAUGCGUAGAUAUAGGGAGGAACACCAGUGGCGAAGGCGGCCUGCUGGACAUUAACUGACGCUGAGGCGCGAAAGCGUGGGGAGCAAACAGGAUUAGAAACCCUUGUAGUCC
Molecule: ribosomal RNA, 427 nt
Filed under: uncultured bacterium
Lineage: Bacteria
Description: partial 16S ribosomal RNA
Rfam family: Bacterial small subunit ribosomal RNA
Source: RNAcentral